RNAcentral lists this ribosomal RNA (333 nucleotides) under uncultured bacterium. Its description in RNAcentral is "bacterial SSU rRNA". It matches the Rfam family "Bacterial small subunit ribosomal RNA", at positions 568 to 898 of the family's 1533-position model. The record is from RNAcentral.
CGUGUAGGCGGAUGGGAACGUCGGUUGUUGAAAGCCCCCGGCUCAACCGGGGAACUGGCGCCGAAACGUCCUGUCUAGAGGAGCGUAGGGGGACCUGGAACUUCCGGUGGAGCGGUGAAAUGCGUUGAGAUCGGAAGGAACGCCCGUGGCGAAAGCGAGGUCCUGGACGUUAUCUGACGCUGAGACGCGAAAGCUAGGGGAGCGAACGGGAUUAGAUACCCCGGUAGUCCUAGCUGUAAACGAUGGGCACUGGGUAGGGGGCUCGCCGAUGGGCUCUCUGCCGUAGGGAAACCGUGAAGUGCCCCGCCUGGGGAGUAUGGUCGCAAGGCUGAA